AGUAAUCAUUCCACAGUUGGGUGCAGUUUCAUUUUGCUGCUGCUCUCCAGCUGACGACUAUUGCAAACACCUGUUGGGCUUUCUGUUCAUGCAAUUUAUGCAAGCUGAACCCUUAGUAUGCAGUUUAGUGUGCUUGCAUGAGUACACAGAUUUUCCAGCAUACACACAGUUGUGAACUUCAUUCUUCUCCUUGGUGUUCCUGUGGCAGUCAUGUUGCCUUGUUUUGAGAAGCAGGUUGCUGAGCUGUAAUCCUCAUUGUCAUAAAGGUCACUAAGGAAACAGGCAGGAGUUCACACCUGACCUACAUUAUAGUGAUGUCCAUUUUUACGGAGGAGGACUCAUUUGCACCAUCUUUGAAGACAUCAGUUCCUGCCAGUGGUUCAAAGUAACAGUGACCUGACCUGACAUGUCUUCAUUCCUGCAAGCUAAUAUUUGAACUGCUGUCAAGAGUUUGGGAGUACAAUUUGCAGAGAAGGCAUGGAAGAAAAAGAGAGCAGUACGUGCUGCCUACCUCCAUGAAGCAGUUCCAGGGCUGCACCGUCUGACACCACACUCAGAAGUGCGAGAGAAACAAAGUUGGAAUCGUGAGAAACUUUGAACAGGUCAUGCCUGUUGAGCUCUGAAUGAAGCAGUGAGUGCACCAAGAGCUCAUUUCUGGAUUUAAGUAUCUACCUUUUCUUAUGGGAGACAGAGAUCUCACACAGCAGGGGAUGAAGGGUUGUGCUUGUUUUUUUGCUGUUUUGUUCACUCUCCACGCUGAUGAAGAAAAGAAUCAAGAUGAGCUCAGCCUUCUGUAAGGAAAGUUGUCACUAUGGCUGGUGCAGCUUCCACAGGAGUAAAAAGGGGCUGAAUUCCUACUUUCCAGGACAGCUUGUAGUCUUCUGAUUCCAUCACUCUUCAGCUUUGAAAACCCAAAGAUGAAGAAGUCAUCUGCUGACAAGCCACUGUAUGUACCUUAGCAGGAUGGGGAUCAGAAUCAAUUUCUCUGGAGUUUCUUGGAAGUCACAGGGUCUUCAGUGGGGCCACAAAACAUUGGACUGCAAAUGGAAGAAAGAUUUGGAUCUCAGCAAGUUGGAAAGCAUACCAUUUUAUUUAUUUAUUUUUUCUUCUCCCAUCGAUAUGUCUGCAAGAAGACAGAAUUAAUUCUAAAUUAGAAUAGCUACCCCCCCCUCAAGCUCCAUGUCAGUUGUCCAAGUUCCAAACUCCUUGUUUCAGGGAAAAUAAAAGUUGUUUCCAUUUGCCUAAGUACAUUUAUCAUAAAAAGUUUAGUUGCAAUUUUUGUGGGUUUAAAUAAUAGGACUCAGCAUCCUUGCCAAGACAGAAAGGAAUGGCUCAUGGCUAGGUGGCAUGAGCAGGCACACGCGAGCAUUCCCUUUGCAGUUCUACCAAUACGCAUCUGAUUCUGCCAUCUGCGUCUGCUGUUUUAACAGAGAGAUUAUCUUCAGUGACCAAAAUGUACAACUGUUUGCGCAGCAACAAUAUACACAGAUUAUUUUUAGUUGAAACAUGUGGCACUACUCAUUGUGCAGCUGCUUUCAUGCAUUAAUGCAUUGUGAUACAAAACCCUAACUGCAAGAACCCAAAUUAAUUGCAAGCAACGAGACAUUUUGGACUGAAAACCCCUUUUGGCUACAUUAGAAUCGAGUUGUUGACUUUUCAAGCUAAAAGAGAUAUGAAUCAUGGAAAAUAUUUCAUUCUUAACCCCUCAAAGUACCCAAU
This is a long non-coding RNA of Anas platyrhynchos (mallard), 1719 nucleotides long. RefSeq lists it as uncharacterized. Lineage: Eukaryota; Metazoa; Chordata; Aves; Anseriformes; Anatidae. The record is from RefSeq and is a predicted model, not a curated record.